UGCAGUCGAACGAUGAAGCUGGAGCUUGCUCCGGCCGAUUAGUGGCGAACGGGUGAGUAACACGUGAGCAAUCUGCCCUUGACUCUGGGAUAACUGCGGGAAACUGUAGCUAAUACCGGAUACUUUCCUCGCUGGGCAUCCAGCGGGGAAGAAAGAAUUUCGGUCAAGGAUGAGCUCGCGGCCUAUCAGCUAGUUGGUGAGGUAAAGGCUCACCAAGGCGACGACGGGUAGCCGGCCUGAGAGGGUGACCGGCCACACUGGAACUGAGACACGGUCCAGACUCCUACGGGAGGCAGCAGUGGGGAAUAUUGCACAAUGGGCGAAAGCCUGAUGCAGCAACGCCGCGUGAGGGAUGAAGGCCUUCGGGUUGUAAACCUCUUUUAGCAGGGAAGAAGCGAAAGUGACGGUACCUGCAGAAAAAGCACCGGCUAACUACGUGCCAGCAGCCGCGGUAAUACGUAGGGUGCAAGCGUUGUCCGGAAUUAUUGGGCGUAAAGAGCUCGUAGGCGGUUUGUCACGUCUGCUGUGAAAAUCCGAGGCUCAACCUCGGACUUGCAGUGGGUACGGGCAGGCUAGAGUGCGGUAGGGGAGAAGGGAAUUCCUGGUGUAGCGGUGGAAUGCGCAGAUAUCAGGAGGAACACCAAUGGCGAAGGCACUUCUCUGGGCCGUAACUGACGCUGAGGAGCGAAAGCGUGGGGAGCGAACAGGAUUAGAUACCCUGGUAGUCCACGCCGUAAACGGUG
RNAcentral lists this ribosomal RNA (743 nucleotides) under uncultured Actinomycetes bacterium. Its description in RNAcentral is "bacterial SSU rRNA". It matches the Rfam family "Bacterial small subunit ribosomal RNA", at positions 56 to 811 of the family's 1533-position model. Lineage: Bacteria; Bacillati; Actinomycetota; Actinomycetes. The record is from RNAcentral.